UCUCUCUCUCUCUCUCUCUCUCUCUCUCUCUCUCUCUCUCUCUCUCUCUCUCAACCUAAACAAGAUCAAGUUUUUCUCCUCUCCUCCUAAUUUUCGAUCACUCCCUCUCUAGUGUUUUCUUAUGGGUAACUGUUGCAACCCAUCACAAUCGUCAUCCGUUUUCAAUCUCAGCACUACAAAGAACUCGAAGCCACCAUUGACAUGCUUCCAUGCUCUGCGUUGAGUUCCAAAAGGCGUUAUCAUCAAGGCCAUGGAAGGAUUCUCAAGAAGAUGAUCAGGCUCCGAUCACCGUCGCCGAUUUCAGCAACCAGGAACUGAUAAGUUUGGAGAUGGGGAGACAAAUCCCUUCUAUUUCUUUGGUAGCGGAAGAGGACUCGGCGUCGGUGCAUUUAGAUAAUCUGGUAGAGCAGGCGGUUGAUUAGGCCACGCAACCAUCUACUUUCCGGCAGAAGAAAUUUUUGGUGUGUUGAAGUGAAAUAGCUUUCGCCACGUUUGAGAACAUGCAGUAUGGAGAAGGAAAAUGUGAAGACAAAAAUUGUAUUUAGGCCAAAUGUUUCUAUGGCGUUGUUCUUUCAAUACAACACUGCUUUGGGAGCCGCCUUACCAGGUUUUGGUAGAUAUCAACUUUAUCAAUUUCUCUAUCCAGAAUAAGGUGAGUGUUUAGUGCUAAUUGCUUCAUGUAUAAGCUACAGCUUGUUCAAGUUUUCUGUAUUAGAAAAUAUAAUUGUUUUUGUUCACUACCCAUAUGCAAAGUGUGAGUCUCAAAGUUAUUCACUUGUAUUAAUGUUUAGUGUUUCUUAGGAAUUGGGUUUGAAUGUUCAGUUUUAUAUAUAACAAGAAUGAUUCACAUAAAUUAGUUAACUUACGAUAGUGACCAAAAGUUUUGAUAGUUAAUGCACGGUAAUGUUCCAUUUUUCUUGUUUAUUUUUCUCUAAUAGUUUAUUUGUCUUUUAAAUAUACAGGUACUCCUGGUAUCACAGAUUAUGUAAUGGUUGAGCUUGAAAAGUUGGGUCAGAAAUAUCGUGUGGCUCAGAGGUUGUUUGUGUCAAACGAAGAGUUGCAGCUGUGGGAUGAAGUCUUGAUGUUUAUAUAUUGAUGGGUGCAUCUGUAAAUUUAUAGUUAGUACAUACAUUUAUUGCAUUAUACAAUUCAAAAUACAGUAUAUAGUACAAGAAUGUAAAGGUGCCAAACGACACCUUAUUUUUUUAAUACAACCUCAUAAAUUUGCCACUGAUAUCAGUGGCAUUCCAAAACCACUAAUAUCAGUGUGAAUUUAGAUGCUGACUUUACCUUGGAU
Molecule: long non-coding RNA, 1297 nt
Organism: Rosa chinensis
Lineage: Eukaryota; Viridiplantae; Streptophyta; Magnoliopsida; Rosales; Rosaceae
Exons: 4
Source: RefSeq, a predicted model, not a curated record